Molecule: ribosomal RNA, 277 nt
Filed under: uncultured bacterium
Lineage: Bacteria
Description: partial 16S ribosomal RNA
Rfam family: Bacterial small subunit ribosomal RNA
Source: RNAcentral
CUUGCCGCCGGCGACCGGCGCACGGGUGAGUAACACGUAUGCAACCUGGCCGUGACAGAUGGAUAACCGGGAGAAAUCCCGCCUAAUACAACAUAAUGCCGGGAGGGGACAUCCCCUGCCGGCCAAAGGGGGCGACCCCGGUCACGGAUGGGCAUGCGGCGCAUUAGGUAGUUGGUGGGGCAACGGCCCACCAAGCCGACGAUGCGUAGGGGUUCUGAGAGGAAGGUCCCCCACGUUGGAACUGAGACACGGUCCAAACUCCUACGGAAGGCAGCAG